Small nuclear RNA from Callithrix jacchus (white-tufted-ear marmoset), 106 nucleotides. The record is from Ensembl. NCBI's taxonomy places the organism in Eukaryota, Metazoa, Chordata, Mammalia, Primates, Cebidae.
AUGCUCCCUUUGGCAGCACAUAUACUAAAAUUGGAACAAUAGAGAUUAGCAUGGCCCUGAGCAAGGAUAACAUGCAAACUCAUGAAGCCUUCCAUUACAAAAAUUU